AGUAAAAGUCGUAACAAGGUUUCCGUAGGUGAACCUGCGGAAGGAUCAUUAAUGAUACUUGGAGAUUCUGAUGCUGGCGUUUACUCGCAUGUGCUCGAUUUCCUUAAUCCAUUCAACACCUGUGCACCUUUGUGAAGGAGAGCGAAAGUUCACCUUCAUUUUAUACAAACUCUUUAUUGAAAUCUGAAUGUUCAUUGGCCGAAAGGCUCUAAAAUAAAACAACUUUUAACAACGGAUCUCUUGGCUCUCGCAUCGAUGAAGAACGCAGCGAAAUGCGAUAAGUAAUGUGAAUUGCAGAAUUCAGUGAAUCAUCGAAUCUUUGAACGCACCUUGCGCUCCCUGGUAUUCCGGGGAGCACGCCUGUUCGAGUGUCAUGAAGCUCUCAAAUGGAGUCCUUUAUUGUGACUCUUCAUUUGGAUUUGGACUCUGCUGUGGUCAAAUACAGCUGGUCUUAAAAAUAUUAGCUUGGUCCUUGAUAAUCUUGGUUCUACUCGGCGUGAUAAUUAUCUAACGUUGAGGACAUUUCUUUAUUGAGAUGGCCAGAAUUGUUUAAGAGCUGCCUCUAAUCGUCUUCGGACAUAACAUUUUCAAAUCUGACCUCGAAUCAGGUGGGACUACCCGCUGAACUUAAGCAUAUCAAUAAGCGGAGGAAAAGAAACUAACAAGGAUUCCCCUAGUAACGGCGAGUGAAGCGGGAUGAGCUCAAAUUUAAAAUCUGGUGGUCUUUGGCCGUCCGAGUUGUAAUCUAGAGAAGCGUCUUCCGUGC
Molecule: ribosomal RNA, 766 nt
Filed under: uncultured fungus
Lineage: Eukaryota; Fungi
Description: eukaryotic LSU rRNA
Rfam family: 5.8S ribosomal RNA (bases 221-374)
Source: RNAcentral